GAUGAACGCUGGCGGCGUGCCUAAUACAUGCAAGUCGAGCGAACGGACGAGAAGCUUGCUUCUCUGAUGUUAGCGGCGGACGGGUGAGUAACACGUGGAUAACCUACCUAUAAGACUGGGAUAACUUCGGGAAACCGGAGCUAAUACCGGAUGAUAUUUUGAACCGCAUGGUUCAAAAGUGAAAGACGGUCUUGCUGUCACUUAUAGAUGGAUCCGCGCUGCAUUAGCUAGUUGGUAAGGUAACGGCUUACCAAGGCAACGAUGCAUAGCCGACCUGAGAGGGUGAUCGGCCACACUGGAACUGAGACACGGUCCAGACUCCUACGGGAGGCAGCAGUAGGGAAUCUUCCGCAAUGGGCGAAAGCCUGACGGAGCAACGCCGCGUGAGUGAUGAAGGUCUUCGGAUCGUAAAACUCUGUUAUUAGGGAAGAACGUAUGUGUAAGUAACUGUGCACAUCUUGACGGUACCUAAUCAGAAAGCCACGGAUAACUACGUG
Molecule: ribosomal RNA, 497 nt
Filed under: uncultured bacterium
Lineage: Bacteria
Description: partial 16S ribosomal RNA
Rfam family: Bacterial small subunit ribosomal RNA
Source: RNAcentral